Molecule: long non-coding RNA, 3564 nt
Filed under: Sus scrofa (pig)
Lineage: Eukaryota; Metazoa; Chordata; Mammalia; Artiodactyla; Suidae
Description: lncRNA (ENSSSCG00065040742.1)
Source: RNAcentral
UUUUUUUUUUUUUUUAUGGCCAUAUCCAAGGUGUGUGGAAGUUUCUCAGCCGGGGACGGAACCCAAGCCACAGGUGCAACCUACACCACAGCUGUGGCAACGGCAUAUCCUUUAACCCACUGCCUCAGGCUGGGGAUGAAACCUGUGCCUCCACAACAACCCAAGCCAAUGCCUUUGGAUUCUUAAGCCACUGCAAUGCAGCAGGAACUCCUAAAAAUGAAUUCUUUAAAAAAAAAAAAGUGAGAAAACAAAUACUUCCAAAUGAGAAGCAUGGAGAAACAGGUAAACAGCUCAUCUAUUUUUAAAAUGAGGAGGCAUAGCAGCUGCCCUAUGAAAGCAGGCUUGUCAAUUAUUUAAUGUCUCAUUGAGCCAUAGACUCUCAGAGUGCAGAGCCCAGGAGAACCACCCAGGCCUGGCCUUUUCCCUUUAGCCAGUGUACCAGGGCUAAGUGGCACAGAGCACGCUAAACAGGAGUAUGGGCACAGCCCUUGCUUUUGAGAAAGACAUCCAUGUUCGACAGGCUGUUUGAUCUCUCUCACUUCCUUUCACCUUUUCUAAAUAUCCUCCCUGAAAGGUGGAGUUCAGGAAAACUGUGAACAAGGCGACUGCAGACCAUUCUUGCAGCCUGUGUUUCCACUACACCCAGAGUGACAUGUGGCAUAUACCUGCUAUGUAAUAGGUGACAAGUGAGACCUCUGGGGCUCCACACUGUCACCCCAAUGGCUGAGAAUGCUGGGGGCUCCUGCUGUCUACAUCCCACGGAAGCAAGCAUCACCUCGCUCUUCUUAGUGCCCUUCACACUGGGGUAAGACAGACAACUUACAGAAACAGGCUGCGCCUGAAUAUUGUGCCUCUGUUUAGAGCCUCGGAUCAUACUUUCUCUCUCUCUCUCUCUCUCUCUCUCUCUCNNNNNNNNNNNNNNNNNNNNNNNNNNNNNNNACACACACACACACACACACACACACACACACAGGCUGAUAGAAGCCAAUGCCUGGAGUGUUGAACCCACACUCUUCUGAGGGACGGCUAGUUUUGCAAGGGCUUCGGGUGAAGAGAAGGUGGAAAGUGGGCUGGACUGAAGGGGGUCCCUGUUCUGAAGCCAGACACUUGUUGAAGCCGUCAGAUGGAGACUUGAAAGAACUCAAGAAAGGGCAGGCCUAGACAGGACAGACCGGAGGACCCAGCUAAACGGGAAGUCCCUGGGGACAUCACAGAUGACAAAGGGCCAAGUUCCAGAAGGCCAACUAGGACCGGGAAGGGGCAGACAGAGAUGCUGUCAACACUUGGGAAAGAGGCGGUGGCAAGUGAAAAAAGAGAAGAUGGCAGACCCCUUGGGUGGGGCCAGCCCUGAGCUUCCGGUGAGACUCAGGGUGCUCUGCUGUCCUGCGGCAUCAUGGGAGCACUGGCCAACCCCACCCUGGUGAAGGGUGGGGCCCUGAAGGCCAAGAGGAGGGGCCUCUGUCACAUCUGAGCCUCCCUGGCAAGUCAGUGAGUCACUCUGAACCUCCGUUUUCUCAGCUCAAAGUCAGGGCAUCGAUUAUAAGAAUAGCUGCUGUAAGGGAUCAAGGACUCAGCAGGUGCAGGAAUGGUUUACCAUGUCUGUCGACAGAGAAGGCACUGAGCAAAGGCUUCCUCUGUCAGCUGUCAAGAGAACAGGUGCCCCGUUCAUCUUUGUGAUGCUGUGUGUCUUCCCAGCUAGAGCUCUGUUUGCAGAAUCCCCGGCCAUGACCCUCAGCUUGACCCUCAUUCCCGACAUCCUGUAAAAAGCACUGAGCAUAUUUGUCCAGGGAAUGAAUCAGUAGGAGCGUCAACAGCUGGCAUGAGCUUUCGGAUGCUGCAUGCUGAUCCCGGAGAGGAUGCUCAUGGAGGAACUUGGCAAAGUCACUCCAUUUUCCUGAGCCUUGGUUUUCUCGUCUAGAAAAGGAGGCUGCUUUUUUAUUUUAUUUUAUUUUAUUUUUUUGUCUUUUCUAGGGCUGCAUCCUCGGCAGAUGGAGGGUCCCAGGCUAGGGGGUCUAAUCAGAGCUCCUGGGAACCUCCAUAUGCCACGGGUGUGGCCCUAGAAAAGGCAAAAAGACAUUAAAAAAAAAAAAAAAAAAAAGAGUGCCAGGGAAGAUUACAAGGAGAGAAAAGGGCAAGAACUGAAACACAGUCUUGUAAAGAGUACCCCAAAAGUCUCUGGGUGAGCCCACAGAUCAUUAUAAAAUGCCAGUAUAGUAUGUGCCAAAAUUCACCACCCUAAAAUUGACUAUUAUCAGAAGCACCCACGUGGAGUUCCCAUUGUGCCUCAGCAGUAAUGGACCCAACUAGCAUCUAUGAGGAUGUGGGUCUGACCUCUACCCUCACCCAAUGGGUGAAGGAUUUGGCAUUGCUGUGAGCUGUGGUGUAGGUCGAAGACGCAGCUCAUAUGUGGUGUUGCCGUGACUAUGGUGUAGGCUGGAAGCUGUAGCUCCAAUUCCACCCCUCGCCUGGAAAUUUCCAUAUGCCACAGGUACAGCCCUAAAAAGACAAAAUAAUAAUAAUAAUAAUAAACUGGAGGACAGGUUGGAAGGCAGCCUGAUCGGAUCAGUGAGACCAGUUAGGAACCUGCUCUCUGAGGUCACCUGAACCAAGAUGGCAGCCUGGACUGAGGCUACAGUGAUGGACAUGGAAAGAAGAGGCCAAACCCACAGGAAUCAGCACCCAUCAGGCAUGGCAGGGCCAAAGCCAGGCCGAGGAAAGUCACAUAACUGAAUGGGCAGAUGGACAGUGACAACACUUUCUGCGACCAGAAACUCUGGGGGGAAGGCCAGGCGUGGUUUUAGCCGCGUGCCUUUAGCUGUGCACACGCGGGGUGGCCAGCGGGCAGGUGCCGCUCGGGCAGCGGACUUGAGAUGUGGAAACUCAAGCACAGGAGGCCUGCAGGUUUUGUUGGCUUGGGUUUCUUCCUCUCUCCCUUUCCACGGAGUGCUGUGUGGCUACAAGAGUGUGUUUUAAGACAAAUGGGGAUUAAGUAUAUUUAGUUUAAAAACAAAGAAGGUGGCUGUACAGCACCAUGGGAGUAGCAUCAGGCUGAGGGUCAGAGGCCCUUCUGAGCCCAGAGCUGAUGCUCAAACUCUGCAACUCUUGGUUUCACAUAUAAACUAAAGAGAUGGGACCAGAGCUCUAAGGCCUCUGUACGCACGGAAGCACAGCAAGCCUACCCUCAUCCAAAACUGUCUUUUCACCUUUCAUUCCAGUUUCAUCAUCUUUAUUAUUAUUAUUUUUUUCUUUUUUGGUCACCCCACAGCAUAUGGAGUUUCAGGGCCAGGGAUCCAAUCCUGAGCCGCAGCUGCGGCAACAUGGGAUCCUUAACCCACUGUGCUGGGCCGGGGAUCAAACCUGCAUGCCAUUGCUCCCAAGACACCGCUGAUCCUGUGGGAUCAGUUCCCACAGUGGGAACUCCGGUGUCAUCCUCUUUAGAAAUGAGGACUGUGGCCCGGGGCCUGACCCACCUUGACAGGAGGAAAAAUGGAGCCAGAGGAUCCUGAGGCUUUCGGGGCAGUUUCCAGGGUGAGGACCCUGUGUGCCUGGGGUCAGGGGGAUCCC